This is a long non-coding RNA of Scylla paramamosain (green mud crab), 2467 nucleotides long. RefSeq lists it as uncharacterized. The transcript has 4 exons. NCBI's taxonomy places the organism in Eukaryota, Metazoa, Arthropoda, Malacostraca, Decapoda, Portunidae. The record is from RefSeq and is a predicted model, not a curated record.
UAUAAUAGAUCAGUACAAAACUACAGCCAGUAUUUCAACAGCGCCACAGUCUUGAAAAUCCCUGUACAUCUAAAGCAACAUACAUAUUUGUCAAAAGAAGAGGUAUUGUAUUGAUUAAAUGGGCAAUAAGCCAUUGGCACGACACCACCACCGAGUGCGUGGAGAGAAAGAAGCUCAGAAGAGGGAAGGAGAAAGGUUGAGUACCUCCCAGUAUUCGGCCGACGACUAAGGUGGUUAAGAUGACGAAGGUUACUGUCAUUUGGAUAACAAUUUUCGCAAGCGUUUUCUACACUACAAGGACACAGUCAACUUACAGUUUGAGAGAGCAACCGAGCACCUGUAUUCCCAUGAUGGGUUUGACCUAUGAUUUUCGCACUACCUUCUCUAUGCUGUGUGGUGUGCUGUGUGGUGAAAGGAGGGCCGUGAAGUACACCUUUAACAGCAACACCAACAAAUGUACUCUGUACGGAGAAGGUUAUGGCCCGGCCUCCUCCACAAACACCUUCCUUAUGUUCCCGUCACAAGAUUCCCUGGAGGAUGUGGCCACAGGAAAGCCAGCUUCCGCAAGCAGCGUUUAUUUGCAAGUAUCCAGCAACAACUCUUCUUGUAAGAGCUUUAGUUUGAUAUGUUGGAUUCGGAAUUUAUGAAAACAUUUUUUUUUCUUUUAAUACCGAACAAAACAAAUUUCAGGUCAUACAUACCUUCUAUGGCCGUGGACACAAUCGAGACGGAUGACAGUAUGUUCCACUCAGCUGUAGCUGAUUCACAACCCUGGUGGCUGCUGGACCUCGGCGAGACACGGGUGAUUCAUGAGGUCCAAAUCCUUCCUCGUCGCAAUUGCUGCCCUUUCAGGUUCCACGAUAUUGAGAUUCGCAUAGGUGACGUGCAGCCACCCAAUGGUGACUUUUCAUCGUUCACUCCGUUCUCGACGUACAAGGGUCCUUAUUCCGCCGCUCUUGGCCGUCUUUCAUGCGCUAGGGGUGAUGGCCUCAGUGGCAGGUUCGUCGUCAUCAUAAAGGUGAUACCAGGUGAUCAGUAUGUACUCCAGGUAGCUGAUGUUAAUAUCUUUGUCCAGAAGUAAUUAACUAGUGAUAACGCUCUGAUGUUACAACUUCUUUAUGAUAUGAUAGGCAGUUAUCAUUGCAAAUAUGAAUACUUAUUGUAUCUUGUUAGAAUGCUGAAAUGGUUUUCUUUGUGUCUACUAAAGAGCAGUAUGUGGGCCAGCAAAUUAGGUCAUAUCCACCGUGUGUAACAUGUAGAGAAAUCCAUAACGCGGGGUAAGAUAACAUUAAUGUCGGGGGAAUGAGCGUGCCGUCGCCAUCCACAGUAGUCUGGAAGAGUUUAGUGAGGAAAAGACAAACUGCAGCCGCCUCUACCGCUGCCAACAUAUAGGCUAAAAUUCAGUGAGUUUAAGCAGAUAUCACAUAGGAGCAUAUUUCCAUUGACCGUCUAUCCUCGAUCUUCCGACAUAGGAUGCUAGCGUCGAGUCUGUCUUGCACACACACACACACACACACACACACACACACACACACGGCCUUCUACCAUCCAGUACUCGUCCUCUGAUUUGUAUCUCAGCAACUAUGACGGACUUAUUUAGAAGUGAUGGAAUGUUUUCCAGUGAUGCUAAUGACACAAUGACGUUAAUUCAACUUGUGAAGCAGGUGGAAGGUUAGUUUAAAUUAGGUUAGAAUAUGGUUGCGCACCACAGAAUUAAGUUUGGUUAACCACAUGGUUAGGUUAAACCCUGAAGGGUUUAGUUGAGGUUAGGCCCCGUAAGAUUAGAUUUUGGAUUAAAUAUGGCUAAUACUUUUUUUUUUUCUUGCUUUGGAGUUUUUGGUUUAGGUCUACUGAAUAUUGAUGAAAUCAGUAUCCUGUUCUAGGUUCUUAAAAUCUGAAGAAUUCUCUUCCUACAAGCUGACAGGUUCCUUAACUUUUCAAUGAGGGAUACCUGAGGAUUUCUCCACCAUCUUAUUCUUUCCUCUAGAUUGAAUAUACUGUUCAUCACUUCCUUUACUUCAGAAAUAUAUACAGAAAAAAUCAAGACAUGUCUGGACCUGCUCAGCUGGUUCUUUUACGUGCAUAUUGGUAAUAUUCACUCUAGUAAUUUUUCACUUGCUAAGUCUUCAUGCAUAGUUAAUAAACAUCCAUAAAACAUGUAUUUGUAUGAUUUGAGGUCUAACGUUAUGAAUAUCACCGUGAUAUUAUAAGAUGUGAACACAACCAAGCACCAUUUUGGAUCCUACCGUCGGCUGUCGACACUGCUUCCCUUUUGUGCCAGAAAAAAGCAAGCUAAAGUCCGAGAGGAAGACAACGCUACCGUCCGACUUCGCAGGAGUGCUGGUGUGAUAUCAGCUUCAGGGUCCUGAGACAAACAUUCGCUAACUCUUUACUAAAGUAAUACAGCAUAGUGUAUACAGACAUUAGAUAUGUACUCCUGCUUUGAAAAUUAAAUACCAUGUUACUA